Molecule: ribosomal RNA, 440 nt
Filed under: uncultured Enterobacter sp.
Lineage: Bacteria; Pseudomonadati; Pseudomonadota; Gammaproteobacteria; Enterobacterales; Enterobacteriaceae
Description: bacterial SSU rRNA
Rfam family: Bacterial small subunit ribosomal RNA
Source: RNAcentral
UAACCUUGUCGAUUGACGUUACCCGCAGAAGAAGCACCGGCUAACUCCGUGCCAGCAGCCGCGGUAAUACGGAGGUGCAAGCGUUAAUCGGAAUUACUGGGCGUAAAGCGCACGCAGGCGGUCUGUCAAGUCGGAUGUGAAAUCCCCGGGCUCAACCUGGGAACUGCAUUCGAAACUGGCAGGCUAGAGUCUUGUAGAGGGGGGUAGAAUUCCAGGUGUAGCGGUGAAAUGCGUAGAGAUCUGGAGGAAUACCGGUGGCGAAGGCGGCCCCCUGGACAAAGACUGACGCUCAGGUGCGAAAGCGUGGGGAGCAAACAGGAUUAGAUACCCCUGGUAGUCCACGCCGUAAACUAUGAGAGCUAGCCGUCGGGCAGUAUACUGUUCGGUGGCGCAGCAAACGCAUUAAGCUCUCCGCCUGGGGAGUACGGUCGCAAGAAUUA